GAUGAUGCCACAGAGCAUAUUACAUGACACAUUACCAUGAUGUUCCAUAACCGACCCCUCAAGGUCCCAACAAAAAAUUGAGUCAUUCCUCUCACUCUUCUUCUGUGUAAAUGUACAAUGUUCUCCUUUAUAUGCAAUGGGAACACCAAAUCAUGAUCUCAGACAAGUUCUGAGGAUUCUGCACCAUAACAAAACCAAACCAAACAUAAAAGAAGAAGGAGAAGGAGAAUUCUGUUGAAUGAUGGGAACCUAUCCUUCUUCUGCUGAUGGAUGAGUUGUUCUGGAACAAGAGACAGAACAGGUUGCAGUUAUAAAACGUCAUAAAUUGAUGCAAAGGGGAGUAGCAGGAUCGUAUAAAAGAAGUGUUUCAGUUUGAUCUUUAAACUGAGCAGGGAGAAGAUGAAUUACACUGGCUUGAAACUUUGUUAUGAGUCUCCUCUUAAAGCAUCCAGACUAUCUUUUAUCCCUGAAAGACUUGGUGAUACUGUUGUUCUCUUCAUAAGGUUUGGCAUAGUUGUGUGCCUUGUUGCCUCCAUAUCACUCGCUCUCCACUCAGCAUUUGCUAAACCAGACCGAUGGUUCCCCUUACCGGACCAUAUACAUACUGCAAAGAAUACUUCUGUCAUUGACAGCGGACCAACAAACAUCUCACAUAUUCUGUUUGGCAUCGGUGGAUCAUCUAACACUUGGCAUGACCGUAGCAACUACAGCAAACUAUGGUGGAAUCCAAACACCACAAGAGGUUUUGUUUGGCUUGACAAGAAGCCUAAGAUUUUGCGUGAUGACAUGUUAGUGCCAUAUCAAAUCUCAAAGGGUUGGAGGCGGUUCAAGUAUGUGCACUCAGCAUCUGCAGUUCGCAUUGCCCGCAUAGUUUAUGAGAGCUUUAAACUUGGUUUGCCAAAUGUUAGGUGGUUUGUAAUGGGAGAUGAUGAUACUGUGUUCUUUACUGAGAACUUAGUUACUGUGUUGGGAAAAUAUGAUCACAACCAAAUGUAUUAUAUUGGUGGGAGCUCUGAGAGUGUUGAGCAAGAUUUGAUGCAUUCUUAUGACAUGGCAUUUGGUGGUGGUGGAUUUGCAAUCAGUUAUGCAUUAGCUGCUCAACUAGCCAAAAUAAUGGAUGGUUGUCUAAGCAGAUACUACUACUUUUAUGGUUCUGAUCAAAGGGUUUGGGCCUGUGUGAAUGAAAUUGGUGUGCCUCUUACCAGAGAAGGUGGAUUCCACCAGCUUGACAUAAGAGGGGAUCCAUAUGGUCUUCUAGCUGCACACCCCUUGGUACCACUUGUAUCACUCCAUCACCUUGACCAAGUGAACUCCUUGUUUCCCAACCAGACUCAAAUUCACUCAAUGGAAAAGCUCAUCAGUGCAUACGACGUCGACCCUGCCCGGAUAGUGCAGCAAAGUUUUUGCUAUGAUCAUAGGCAUAGAUGGUCAAUAUCCAUCUCAUGGGGUUACACCAUACAAAUAUAUCCAUUAUUGUUGAUAGCAUCAGACUUGCAGAUGCCAUUGCAGACAUUUAAGACUUGGCGAAGUUGGAAAGACGGUCCCUUCACAUUCAAUACAAGACCAAUGAGCUCUGACCCGUGUCAGAAGCCAUCUGUGUUUUUCAUGGAUAAGGUAACGGAGGUGGGAAAAAGUGGAAGUGUCACUAUCUACAAGAGACAUGAAGGCACUGAAGGCAAGUGCACGAGAGAAGGCAUUAAUAACGUGGAAGUGGAAAGCAUUACAGUUUCUGCGUUGAAACUGGACCCGGAAUAUUGGAAAAGUGUAUUGCGCAGGCAUUGCUGCCAAUCAUUGGCGGGUGGAAGCAUAAACAAUGGUAGUAUGCAUAUCAGGAUCAGGAAGUGCAGACCUCAAGAAACAAUUACUAUUUAGGAAUCAGCUAUUUUAUUUGCUCGGCAUAGUGAGUAGAUUACUACUGUGUAGUGAGUUUUAUUGGUGUCACCUCUAACAUUUUCACCCUUGUACAUAUAUAGUUGUCAAAAUAUUCAUAUAGUCUCAACUUUAAAUAAUAAAUGUCUUGGGAAAUUUUCUAGUUGUUUGUAUGGCCUCCAAUAUCUAGAUGUGUUGCUUUUCUCUCCACUUUUUCAUAUUCUACCUUCCCUCAUUAUGCCUCUUCAUUUGAUGGGAAUGUCUUUUACAUUAGAAAUUGCCACUACCUCACCAACACUGGUAAAGAUGAUUCCUCUACGUAUUUUGAUGUUGCUCAAGUUUCAAUUUUACUUUGGUGAGCCUUUAUAAACAGGUUCUGAGAACUGAACUGCAGACCAAGCAAAUGUUUGAAUAAUGUUCUGCAGAGAAUGAAAACUAAGAUAAAACUAGACCUAUCUCAGGUUCAGGAUAAGUAAGUAAGCACCGAUGAAUGUCGUUUUGCUUGUUCGAAGAACGGUUUUAAGAGGGAGAAGAUUUGUUUUUUCUACCACUGUCGCACGGAUGAUUGUUAGAAGCUGCCAAAAAUAUCACACUUUGUGAUGCACGUCGAAACUAACAGUUCCUUUAACUGCCGAAAACUGUGAAUUUGACAGCUAGAAAUUACUACAUCAUGGAUCGAUCCUUAUGGUUACAAUUGUGGAAAAAAGAACUGAUUUUUUAGAUAAAAAACUAUGAACUAUUAUAGGAGGUCGCGUGUUGGACGAUCUAAUUUUCUUGUCAUUAGUGAAUUAUUUGAGUUUGGUUUAUUAAAUGUUGGAUUUAGUAU
This is an unclassified non-coding RNA of Vigna unguiculata (cowpea), 2695 nucleotides long. The record is from RefSeq and is a predicted model, not a curated record. NCBI's taxonomy places the organism in Eukaryota, Viridiplantae, Streptophyta, Magnoliopsida, Fabales, Fabaceae.